This 400-nucleotide ribosomal RNA is filed under the name uncultured bacterium. RNAcentral describes it as "bacterial SSU rRNA". It matches the Rfam family "Bacterial small subunit ribosomal RNA", at positions 355 to 747 of the family's 1533-position model. The record is from RNAcentral.
UGGGGAAUUUUGCACAAUGGACGAAAGUCUGAUGCAGCAAUGCCGCGUGGAGGAUGAAGGUCUUUGGAUUGUAAACUUCUGUUAAUUAAAAAGAAAUGGCAAAGGGUAAUAUACUUUGCAGAUGACGUUAUUAAUUUAGAAAGCCCCGGCUAACUUCGUGCCAGCAGCCGCGGUAAUACGAAGGGGGCGAGCGUUAUUCGGAAUGAUUGGGUGUAAAGGGCGUGUAGGCGGUAAUGUAAGUUUUUUGUUUAAUUCUUUGGCCUAACCAAAGGUAUGCGGAAAAUACUAUUUUACUAGAGUAUAAUAGAGGAAGAUGGAAUUCUCGGAGUAGCGGUUAAAUGCGUAGAUCUCGAGAGGAACGCUAAUGGCGAAGGCAGUCUUCUGGGUUAUAACUGACGCU